Molecule: ribosomal RNA, 940 nt
Filed under: uncultured organism
Description: bacterial SSU rRNA
Rfam family: Bacterial small subunit ribosomal RNA
Source: RNAcentral
GUGCCAGCAGCCGCGGUAAUACGGAGGAUGCAAGCGUUAUCCGGAUUCAUUGGGUUUAAAGGGUGUGCAGNCGGAAGAAUAAGUCAGUGGUGAAAGCCCGCAGCUUAACUGCGGAACUGCCAUUGAUACUGUUUUUCUUGAGUUCGGUUGAGGUAGGCGGAAUGUGUAAUGUAGCGGUGAAAUGCUUAGAUAUUACACAGAACACCGAUUGCGAAGGCAGCUUACUAAACCGAAACUGACGCUGAGGCACGAAAGCGUGGGGAGCGAACAGGAUUAGAUACCCUGGUAGUCCACGCUGUAAACUAUGAUCACUCGCUGUUGGCAAUACAUCGUCAGCGGCUGAGCGAAAGCAUUAAGUGAUCCACCUGGGGAGUACGGUCGCAAGAUUGAAACUCAAAGGAAUUGACGGGGGCCCGCACAAGCGGUGGAACAUGUGGUUUAAUUCGAUGAUACGCGAGGAACCUUACCUGGGCUUAAAUGUAGACUGCAUUCUCGGGAAACCGAGAUUUCCUUCGGGACUGUUUACAAGGUGCUGCAUGGUUGUCGUCAGCUCGUGCCGUGAGGUGUCGGGUUAAGUCCCAUAACGAGCGCAACCCCUAUCGUUAGUUGCCAGCGAGUAAUGUCGGGGACUCUAGCGAAACUGCCGGUGUAAACCGCGAGGAAGGUGGGGAUGACGUCAAAUCAGCACGGCCCUUAUGUCCAGGGCUACACACGUGUUACAAUGGUCAGUACAAAGGGCAGCUACCUGGUGACAGGAUGCUAAUCUCAAAAACUGGUCUCAGUUCGGAUCGAAGUCUGCAAUUCGACUUCAUGAAGCUGGAAUCGCUAGUAAUCGCGCAUCAGCAACGGCGCGGUGAUACGUUCCCGGGCCUUGUACACACCGCCCGUCAAGCCAUGGAAGCUGGGGGUGCCUGAAGUCCGUAACCGCAAGGAGCGGCCU